This 174-nucleotide non-coding RNA is filed under the name Leptotrichia buccalis. Lineage: Bacteria; Fusobacteriati; Fusobacteriota; Fusobacteriia; Fusobacteriales; Leptotrichiaceae. The record is from RNAcentral.
UAAUAGUAAAGAAUUAUAGGUGUUUUACAAACUUAAUAAGGAAAUCGGUUAGAAUCCGAUACAGCCCCCACUACUGUGAAACUGACGAAAGUACACAAAACCACUGAAAUAUUUUGGGAAGGGUAUAAGUAGGAUGAAGUUAGUCAGGAGACUUGCCUAAGGUUAAAUUAAAUU